UACCUGCAGCUCGAGUGGUAACCGCUAUUAUUGGGCCUAAAGCGUCCGUAGCCGGUUUGGUAAAUAUCUGGGUAAAACGUGGGGCUUAACUUCACGAAUUUCGGAUAGACUGCCAGACUUGGGAUCGGGGGAGGUCAGAGGUACUCCAGUGGUAGCGGUGAAAUGUUGUAAUCCUUGGAGGACCACCGGUAGCGAAGGCGUCUGACUAGAACGAGUCCGACGGUGAGGGACGAAGCCCUGGGGCGCAAACCGGAUUAGAUACCCGGGUAGUCCAGGGUGUAAACUAUGUGGGCUUUGUAUUGGAGGUCCCACGUGGGCGUCCAGUGCAGAAGAGAAGUUGUUAAGCCCACCGCCUGGGAAGUACGGUCGCAAGGCUGAAACUUAAAGGAAUUGGCGGGGGAGCACAGCAACGGGAGGAGCGUGCGGUUU
RNAcentral lists this ribosomal RNA (429 nucleotides) under uncultured archaeon. Its description in RNAcentral is "bacterial SSU rRNA". It matches the Rfam family "Archaeal small subunit ribosomal RNA", at positions 474 to 903 of the family's 1478-position model. The record is from RNAcentral.